Molecule: long non-coding RNA, 589 nt
Filed under: Amborella trichopoda
Lineage: Eukaryota; Viridiplantae; Streptophyta; Magnoliopsida; Amborellales; Amborellaceae
Description: long non-coding RNA (ATRI_LNC002358)
Source: RNAcentral
GAUUUUCGAGAUUCCGAGGCAAUGAAAAAUGGAGUCCACAGAUGAUCCCCUCUUUGAUUCAUCCUUGUGGUUGUGCUUACGUAGGGUUCCAGUGUGUAUCCUUGGUCUAUGGACACUUCUAAAGGAGUGUCAGUUUAUGUGGGAAAUUGGUUAAUGUUGAUUGGGAGGUGUCUUCUUAUGAAUCUGUAUGCAUUCAGAUUGACAAGAAUAAACAGAUCUGUCCCACAUCUUGGACUCUGCAGGCCGGGAACUUUUCAUUUAAACCCCUUCGUUCCUGCUGCUACAAGUUAUGGAAGAAGAAAUGCUGAUGAAACAGGGUAUGGAGAUCCUACAAGAAGAACCUUUGGUUGUUCCACUGCUUGCUAAUGCUGCACACAGUCCUAAUGAAGAAGAGGGCAAAGAGGUUGAUUGUACGUUUGAACAACAUUAUUUGGUAUGCUAAUUCCAAACUUUGGAAGUUCAGAUGGGCUAUCCACAAAGUUCAAGGGUCUUUUUUUUUUUUUUUGGAAUAUAAGAAUGGUUAGUGGCACAAACCUAGCCAUCUGACUUUCGCAUCUAAUGACAAGACGGGCUUGUGACCUUGUAACAG